RNAcentral lists this ribosomal RNA (253 nucleotides) under uncultured bacterium. Its description in RNAcentral is "partial 16S ribosomal RNA". It matches the Rfam family "Bacterial small subunit ribosomal RNA", at positions 524 to 776 of the family's 1533-position model. The record is from RNAcentral.
UACGUAGGGUGCAAGCGUUAAUCGGAAUUACUGGGCGUAAAGCGUGCGCAGGCGGUUGUGCAAGACAGAUGUGAAAUCCCCGGGCUCAACCUGGGAACUGCAUUUGUGACUGCACGGCUCGAGUGCGGCAGAGGGGGAUGGAAUUCCGCGUGUAGCAGUGAAAUGCGUAGAUAUGCGGAGGAACACCGAUGGCGAAGGCAAUCCCCUGGGCCUGCACUGACGCUCAUGCACGAAAGCGUGGGGAGCAAACAGG